CGAACGCCGGCCGGGCUUGCCCUAAUACAUGGAAAUUCCGGGCGAACAGAAGCAAGGAGCUUGCUCCUUCGACGUUAGCGGCGGACGGGUGAGUAACACGUGGGCAACCUACCUUAUAGUUUGGGAUAACUCCGGGAAACCGGGGCUAAUACCGAAUAAUCUGUUUCACCUCAUGGUGAAACACUGAAAGACGGUUUCGGCUGUCGCUAUAGGAUGGGCCCGCGGCGCAUUAGCUAGUUGGUGAGGUAACGGCUCACCAAGGCGACGAUGCGUAGCCGACCUGAGAGGGUGAUCGGCCACACUGGGACUGAGACACGGCCCAGACUCCUACGGGAGGCAGCAGUAGGGAAUCUUCCACAAUGGGCGAAAGCCUGAUGGAGCAACGCCGCGUGAGUGAAGAAGGAUUUCGGUUCGUAAAACUCUGUUGUAAGGGAAGAACAAGUACAGUAGUAACUGGCUGUACCUUGACGGUACCUUAUUAGAAAGCCACGGCUAACUACGUGCCAGCAGCCGCGGUAAUACGUAGGUGGCAAGCGUUGUCCGGAAUUAUUGGGCGUAAAGCGCGCGCAGGUGGUUUCUUAAGUCUGAUGUGAAAGCCCACGGCUCAACCGUGGAGGGUCAUUGGAAACUGGGAGACUUGAGUGCAGAAGAGGAUAGUGGACUUCCAAGUGUAGCGGUGAAAUGCGUAGAGAUUUGGAGGAACACCAGUGGCGAAGGCGACUAUCUG
RNAcentral lists this ribosomal RNA (727 nucleotides) under bacterium UASWS0075. RNAcentral describes it as "bacterial SSU rRNA". It matches the Rfam family "Bacterial small subunit ribosomal RNA", at positions 30 to 731 of the family's 1533-position model. The record is from RNAcentral.